GUCGACGAACCCUUCGGGGUUAGUGGCGCACGGGUGCGUAACGCGUGGGAAUCUGCCCUUUGCUUCGGAAUAACAGUUAGAAAUGACUGCUAAUACCGGAUGAUGACUUCGGUCCAAAGAUUUAUCGGCAAAGGAUGAGCCCGCGUAGGAUUAGGUAGUUGGUGGGGUAAAGGCCUACCAAGCCGACGAUCCUUAGCUGGUCUGAGAGGAUGAUCAGCCACACUGGGACUGAGACACGGCCCAGACUCCUACGGGAGGCAGCAGUGGGGAAUAUUGGACAAUGGGGGCAACCCUGAUCCAGCAAUGCCGCGUGAGUGAUGAAGGCCUUCGGGUCGUAAAGCUCUUUUACCAGGGAUGAUAAUGACAGUACCUGGAGAAUAAGCUCCGGCUAACUCCGUGCCAGCAGCCGCGGUAAUACGGAGGGAGCUAGCGUUGUUCGGAAUUACUGGGCGUAAAGCGCACGUAGGCGGUUACUCAAGUCAGAGGUGAAAGCCCGGGGCUCAACCCCGGAACUGCCUUUGAAACUAGGUGACUGGAAUCUUGGAGAGGCGAGUGGAAUUCCGAGUGUAGAGGUGAAAUUCGUAGAUAUUCGGAAGAACACCAGUGGCGAAGGCGACUCGCUGGACAAGUAUUGACGCUGAGGUGCGAAAGCGUGUGGAGCAAACAGGAUUAGAUACCCUGGUAGUCCACGCCGUAAACGAUGAUAACUAGCUGUCCGGCCACUUGGUGUUUGGGUGGCGCAGCUAACGCAUUAAGUUAUCCGCCUGGGGAGUACGGUCGCAAGAUUAA
Molecule: ribosomal RNA, 789 nt
Filed under: Novosphingobium sp. DST14
Lineage: Bacteria; Pseudomonadati; Pseudomonadota; Alphaproteobacteria; Sphingomonadales; Sphingomonadaceae
Description: bacterial SSU rRNA
Rfam family: Bacterial small subunit ribosomal RNA
Source: RNAcentral